This 433-nucleotide ribosomal RNA is filed under the name uncultured bacterium. RNAcentral describes it as "partial 16S ribosomal RNA". It matches the Rfam family "Bacterial small subunit ribosomal RNA", at positions 29 to 507 of the family's 1533-position model. The record is from RNAcentral.
AACGAACGCUGGCGGCAUGCCUAACACAUGCAAGUCGAACGAGACCUUCGAGUCUAGUGGCGCACGUGUGCGUAACGCGUGGGAACCUGCCCUUAGGUUCGGAAUAACUCCCCGAAAGGGGUGCUAAUACCGGAUAAUGUCUUCGGACCAAAGAUUUAUCGCCUUUGGAUGGGCCCGCGUUGGAUUAGCUAGUUGGUAGGGUAAAAGCCUACCAAGGCGACGAUCCAUAGCUGGUCUGAGAGGAUGAUCAGCCACACUGGGACUGAGACACGGCCCAGACUCCGACGGGAGGCAGCAGUGGGGAAUAUUCGAGAAGGGGCGAAAGCCUAAUCCAGCAAUGCCGCGUGAGUGAUGAAGGCCUUAGGGUUGUAAAGCUCUUUUACCCGGGAUGAUAAUGACAGUACCGGGAGAAUAAGCUCCGGCUAACUCCGUG